Non-coding RNA from Stegodyphus mimosarum, 73 nucleotides. NCBI's taxonomy places the organism in Eukaryota, Metazoa, Arthropoda, Arachnida, Araneae, Eresidae. The record is from Rfam.
GCCUUCGUGGUGUAGUGGUCAGCACGUCCGACGCGUAUUCGAGAGAUCGGUGGUUCGAGUCCCGGCGAGGGCA